GGGCGAAGCCGGGGUUCUAGCAGAGGUUCCUCUUCGUCCGGUGGGCCCUCGGCAAGUGGGAGCGGCUGGGGUAGGUGCGGACGCGCGGAGGGUUUUUGUUCGACCAGAGGCCUCCGCUGGAGGACCAGCUCUCCCCGUUUACGUUCAAGUGGUUCUUCCGGUUCGAGCGGCUCCGGCGCCCGCGGAGUCCCUAUGAGUAGUAUUUGAGGCCGUGGCUCAUCAUGUUCUACCAGACGCUCUUCUUGCUUUGCCUC
RNAcentral lists this ribosomal RNA (254 nucleotides) under Triticum aestivum (bread wheat). RNAcentral describes it as "partial small subunit ribosomal RNA". Lineage: Eukaryota; Viridiplantae; Streptophyta; Magnoliopsida; Poales; Poaceae. The record is from RNAcentral.